RNAcentral lists this long non-coding RNA (716 nucleotides) under Marmota monax (woodchuck). The record is from RNAcentral. Lineage: Eukaryota; Metazoa; Chordata; Mammalia; Rodentia; Sciuridae.
CUUGUAUCAAAAAAAUAAAAUAAUAAAAUCAGCGAUUAAAGCAAAUAACUAGGAGUAAGUUGAAGCUAGAGAGUUAAAUCAGACUUUCCCUUGGUUUCAGGAUGACAAAUUUUAAGGACUCUACUGGUCAUUGCUGGCUUGGAAGAGAAAGGAAGUAACCAUGACCCUUAGAAGGCAGCCUGGAAAAGGUCAAAAACCCUAGGAAACAGAUACCUCCCUACAGCCUCCAGAAAGAAAUGAAACCCUGUCAACAUCUUGUUUCUAACCCAAUGAGUCCUAUAUCAGAAUUCUGGUGUCCAGAGCUGUAAAAUUAAAAAAUUGUGCUAUUUUAAAACACCCAGCAUGUGGUACUUAAUGUAUUGUAGAAACAAUAGGAAACUGAUACAGAGGACUAGAAGAAAGGAGAAGCCAGGACAUUCCUCCCCACCUCAGCCCCUACUUCAAGCUGCAUCUCUGGCAUCCACCACAUGUCCCCUGUGACUUACACUCCUAUCAGAGGGGACUGUGAGGUUGGCUUAAGCUAGCUGACCCUGGCUCCUGGGCUCUGAGAACACCAUAUUUUUCUUUUUCUUCCAGUAUAGAGGUGAAGAGGCUACCUACUGUUGGACUUACUAUAUGGCCUUUUCUUGGAUUUUCAGCACUUCUAUCACUGAGCUACUUCCCCAGAUCUUUUUAAUGAUUUUUGAGUUUUAUGUUACAGUGAAAGGGCUUUGCGG